CGCGUAGGCGGGUCCCCCAGUCCGGGGUGAAAUCUUUCGGCUCAACCGGAAAAGGGCCUUGGAUACUGGGGACCUGGAGGAAGGUAGGGGCGAUGCGGAACUUCCGGUGGAGCGGUGAAAUGCGUUGAUAUCGGAAGGAACGCCGGUGGCGAAAGCGGCGUGCUGGACCUUUGCUGACGCUGAGGCGCGAAAGCCAGGGGAGCGAACG
RNAcentral lists this ribosomal RNA (208 nucleotides) under uncultured bacterium. RNAcentral's name for it is "partial 16S ribosomal RNA". It matches the Rfam family "Bacterial small subunit ribosomal RNA", at positions 568 to 774 of the family's 1533-position model. The record is from RNAcentral.